GGGUUGGGAGUGGCGCACGGCUGAGGAACACGUGGGUGACCUGCCCUGGUGUGGGGGACAACGUACCGAAAGGUGCGCUAAUCCCGCAUACGCUCCUACGGGAGGAAAGCAGCGAUGCGCACCAGGAGGGGCCUGCGGCCCAUCAGGUGGUUGGUGAGGUAACGGCUCACCAGGCCGAUGACGGGUCCCUGGUCUGAGAGGACGACCAGGCAGACUGGGACUGAGACACGGCCCAGACUCCUACGGGAGGCAGCAGCAAGGGAUUUUCCGCAAUGGGCGCAAGCCUGACGGAGCAACGCCGCGUGCCGGAGGACGGCCUUCGGGUUGUAAACGGCUUUUAUCGGGGAAGAAACGGACGGUACCCGAGGAAUAAGCCCCGGCUAACUCCGUGCCAGCAGCCGCGGUAAUACGGAGGGGGCAAGCGUUGUCCGGACUUACUGGGCGUAAAGCGUGCGUAGGCGGCAGGGUGCGUCGGUGCUGAAAGCGCCCCGCUUAACGGGGCGAGGGGUACCGAUACGACCCCGCUCGAGGCAGUCAGAGGUUGGUAGAAUUCCGGGUGUAGUUGUGAAAUGCGUAGAUACCCGGAGGAAUGCCGGUGGCGAAAGCGACCAAACUGGGGCUGGCCUGACGCUGAGGCACGAAAGCGUGGGGAGCGAAACCGGAUUAGAUACCCGGGUAGUCCACGCCGUAAACGAUGUCGGCUUGGUGUUCGGCAGUAUGAAAGUGCUGCUGAGUGCCGAAGCUCACGCGCUAAGCCGACCGCCUGGGGACUACGAGCGCAAGCUUACAACUCAAAGGAACUGACGGGGGCCCGCACAAGCAGCGGAGCGUGUGGUUUAAUUCGACGCGACGCGAAGUACCUUACCCAGGUAUGACAUGUGGAUGCAAGCGCACAGAAAUGCGUGACCGGCGAGGGUGCCACACAGGUACUGCAUGGCUCUCGUCAGCUCGUGUCAUGAGAUGUUGGGUUAAGUCCCGCGACGAGCGCAACCCCUGAUGCCAGUUACUUGUGUCUGGUGGGACUGCCUUCGCUAACGGAGGAGGAAGGCGGGGAUGAC
Molecule: ribosomal RNA, 1058 nt
Filed under: uncultured organism
Description: bacterial SSU rRNA
Rfam family: Bacterial small subunit ribosomal RNA
Source: RNAcentral